Molecule: long non-coding RNA, 266 nt
Filed under: Elaeis guineensis (African oil palm)
Lineage: Eukaryota; Viridiplantae; Streptophyta; Magnoliopsida; Arecales; Arecaceae
Description: long non-coding RNA (EGUI_LNC027403)
Source: RNAcentral
GUUAUUAUUUUGAUAUCGAUAAUGAUCAAGCUUAUGUGAGUGAAGGAUUAUAUAAUUUUUGAAAGCUUGUCGGUGAACUAUUUAACGCAUCACAAUACUUUAGCAAACUAUUUAAAUUGUGGAAAUGACAAAUCAUUAUUGUUGAGGCAUGAAAAGAAACUUAACAUUAAUCUUAUUGACUAUGGUAUACUUGACAAUUAUGGAACACCAUGUGAUCAUCAACAAUGGAUGUCAAAAAAUACAUCAUUAUUCAUGAUAAAAGCAUG